Molecule: ribosomal RNA, 469 nt
Filed under: uncultured bacterium
Lineage: Bacteria
Description: bacterial SSU rRNA
Rfam family: Bacterial small subunit ribosomal RNA
Source: RNAcentral
GAUGAACGCUAGCGGUAUGCUUAACACAUGCAAGUCGUACGGGAGUUUUUAACUCAAGUGGCGGACGGGUGAGUAACACGUGAGAAUUUACCUUUAGGAGGGGAUAACAAUUGGAAACGAUUGCUAAUACCCCAUAUGCUUUUUUAAGUGAAACGGAUUUAUUCGCCUAAAGAAAAGCUCGCGGCUGAUUAGCUAGUUGGUAAGGUAAUGGCUUACCAAGGCGACGAUCAGUAUCUGGUUUGAGAGGAUGAUCAGACACACUGGAACUGAGACACGGUCCAGACUCCUACGGGAGGCAGCAGUGGGAAUUUCCGCAAUGGGCGAAAGCCUGACGGAGCAAAUACCGCGUGAGGGAAGAAAGCCUACUGGGUUGUAAACCUCUUUUUUUCAGGGAGGAAAAAAAUGACGUGUACCUGAAGAAUAAGCAUCGGCUAACUCCGUGCCAGCAGCCGCGGUAAAGUGACUAACC